GCCUCGGUAGCUGGAAGGCAAAGCGCGGGCGUACGAAUGCCCAGGGACCGGGUUCGAAUCUCGGCCGAGGCG
This 72-nucleotide transfer RNA is filed under the name Ixodes scapularis (black-legged tick). It matches the Rfam family "tRNA". Rfam says of the family: Transfer RNA (tRNA) molecules are approximately 80 nucleotides in length. Their secondary structure includes four short double-helical elements and three loops (D, anti-codon, and T loops). Lineage: Eukaryota; Metazoa; Arthropoda; Arachnida; Ixodida; Ixodidae. The record is from Rfam by way of RNAcentral.